UGGAUCCACAGAGACGGCGACGCCGGAGUCUUCUGCUUCCUCUCUUUUGUCAGAGCUGCUCACCAUCUCCUCUAGUUGUGCGUGGUUCGAAUCUGUUGCAGCUGCGAGAGACGAAGCCCGUCAUGUACCACUGCUUACUGCUUGCCUGAAGCUUUUCUCUGCUCUGCUCUGCUCCGCUGCACUGAAGCGCAGCAAGUCCAUCGCCGUACCAAGAAAAUCCCGCUCUCUCCUUGACUCCGCUAUCUCUUCUGACUCCGUGAUUGCAAAUUGGUGGCAGGGAAGCAAAUUGGGGCUGGGAUUUUGUUAAAUAUUAGCAUGCUUUAGCCUUGCUCAUGCCAUUAUUAAUUGGAAUUUCUUCGAACGGAACAUGAUUUUAAUCACAUGAUUGUCUGAAUUUUAAUAACUUUUUUUUGUCUGAAUUUUAAUCACUUUUUUUUUCUAUUUGAUUCAAUAUCUUUAUUUUGUUUCUUUGUUCUUGUCAAUAUAAUGUAUCAAUGCCUCUGUUAUUGGGAUUUCUCUGUUUUGCCAAAAAUCUAUAGUAUGGUGAACUUUUUGGUUUCAUGGAUGCUUACCCUUUUUCAUAUUUUAAUAAGUACUUAUGUGCUUAGAAGAGCAAUUGACUCUGGUUGCAAAUUCGGAUUGUUGGUGGAAGGAAUGCAAAUUGGGACUGGUUUUCUAGUUGUUGGUGGACUAGCCUAGCUUGCUGAAUUGAUUAAUUCAUUAAUAGAAGGGAGUGGUGUCAUAAUCUGCAUUGACUCUGAAACAAGAAGUGAUGUCUCGGUUCCUUCAGUUUCUCUGUGUCAUCAUAGCAGCUUCGCAUGCUAUUAGGUUUGCCACCAACUUCUCUAUUCUUGUAGAACACCCUACACAACACCCAAUCUUCCUGUAUGGACAGAAAAAAGAGUUAAUUAGAUGCUAUCAUAGUUAAUUUGAACCUAUGACUAUGCUUUAGAAAAUGGCCGAGGUUUGUGAAAGCUUCAAUUUUUACCAUCAUUCAAUUGCUUCUUUUUCUUUUCUUUUUU
Molecule: long non-coding RNA, 1022 nt
Filed under: Arachis ipaensis
Lineage: Eukaryota; Viridiplantae; Streptophyta; Magnoliopsida; Fabales; Fabaceae
Description: long non-coding RNA (AIPA_LNC000680)
Source: RNAcentral